ACACCCUCAACCUUUCUCGGUUUAUUUAUUGACCGGGAAAGGCUUGGACUUUGGAUGUUGCUGGCCUCGCCAGCUCCUCCUAAAUGAAUUAGUGGGGUCCGCCGUGCCGAUCCUUGACGUGUUAAGUACGCUUCUACGUCUCGGGGUUUCGCACCGUUCCCGCUUCUAACCUUUCGAGUCUCGACUCGACCUUUA
Molecule: unclassified non-coding RNA, 195 nt
Filed under: uncultured Russula
Lineage: Eukaryota; Fungi; Basidiomycota; Agaricomycetes; Russulales; Russulaceae
Description: sequence contains ITS2
Source: RNAcentral